RNAcentral lists this ribosomal RNA (279 nucleotides) under uncultured bacterium. RNAcentral's name for it is "partial 16S ribosomal RNA". It matches the Rfam family "Bacterial small subunit ribosomal RNA", at positions 506 to 784 of the family's 1533-position model. The record is from RNAcentral.
UGCCAGCAGCCGCGGUAAUACAGAGGGUGCAAGCGUUAAUCGGACUUACUGGGCGUAAAGGGUGCGUAGGUGGAUAGUCAAGUUGUGUGAGAAAAACCCGGGCUUAACCUGGGCCUUGCAUGCAAAACUGGUUAUCUAGAGUAUGGUAGAGGGAAGUGGAAUUUCCGGUGUAGCGGUGAAAUGCGUAGAUAUCGGAAGGAACACCAGUGGCGAAGGCGACUUCCUGGACUAAUACUGACACUGAGGCACGAAAGCGUGGGGAGCAAACAGGAUUAGAUA